GCCUAGGUGGCUCAGUUGGUUAAGCAACUGCCUUCAGUUCAGGUCCUGAUCCUGGGGUCCUGGGAUCGAGCCCCAGCUUGGGCU
Molecule: transfer RNA, 84 nt
Filed under: Ailuropoda melanoleuca (giant panda)
Lineage: Eukaryota; Metazoa; Chordata; Mammalia; Carnivora; Ursidae
Rfam family: tRNA
About the family: Transfer RNA (tRNA) molecules are approximately 80 nucleotides in length. Their secondary structure includes four short double-helical elements and three loops (D, anti-codon, and T loops). Further hydrogen bonds mediate the characteristic L-shaped molecular structure. tRNAs have two regions of fundamental functional importance: the anti-codon, which is responsible for specific mRNA codon recognition, and the 3' end, to which the tRNAs corresponding amino acid is attached (by aminoacyl-tRNA synthetases). tRNAs cope with the degeneracy of the genetic code in two manners: having more than one tRNA (with a specific anti-codon) for a particular amino acid; and 'wobble' base-pairing, i.e. permitting non-standard base-pairing at the 3rd anti-codon position.
Source: Rfam by way of RNAcentral